This 492-nucleotide ribosomal RNA is filed under the name uncultured bacterium. RNAcentral describes it as "partial 16S ribosomal RNA". It matches the Rfam family "Bacterial small subunit ribosomal RNA", at positions 29 to 507 of the family's 1533-position model. The record is from RNAcentral.
AGUGAACGCUGGCGGUAGGCCUAACACAUGCAAGUCGAACGGCAGCACAGUAAGAGCUUGCUCUUACGGGUGGCGAGUGGCGGACGGGUGAGGAAUACAUCGGAAUCUACUUUUUCGUGGGGGAUAACGUAGGGAAACUUACGCUAAUACCGCAUACGACCUACGGGUGAAAGCAGGGGAUCUUCGGACCUUGCGCGAUUGAAUGAGCCGAUGUCGGAUUAGCUAGUUGGCGGGGUAAAGGCCCACCAAGGCGACGAUCCGUAGCUGGUCUGAGAGGAUGAUCGGCCACACUGGAACUGAGACACGGUCCAUACUCCUACGGGAGGGAGCAGUGGGGAAUAUUGGACAAUGGGCGCAAGCCUGAUCCAGCCAUACCGCGUGGGUGAAGAAGGCCUUCGGGUUGUAAAGCCCUUUUGUUGGGAAAGAAAAGCAGCAGGUUAAUACCCCGCUGUUCUGACGGUACCCAAAGAAUAAGCACCGGCUAACUUCGUG